ACCUUAGACGUUCUGGGCCGCACGCGCGCUACACUGACGAAGGCAACGAGCUUUCCUUUACCGAAAGGUACGGGUAAUCUUUUGAAACUUCGUCGUGCUGGGGAUAGAUCCUUGCAAUUUUUGAUCUUAAACGAGGAAUGCCUAGUAAGCGCAAGUCAUCAACUUGCGUUGAUUACGUCCCUGCCCUUUGUACACACCGCCCGUCGCUACUACCGAUUGAAUGGUUUAGUGAGGCCUUCGGAUCCGCGACUCGUUUUGUGGAGAAGUUGGACAAACUCAGUCAUUUAGAGGAAGUAAAAGUCGUAACA
Molecule: ribosomal RNA, 308 nt
Filed under: uncultured eukaryote
Lineage: Eukaryota
Description: partial 18S ribosomal RNA
Rfam family: Eukaryotic small subunit ribosomal RNA
Source: RNAcentral